CUACGGGCGGCUCCAGUGAGGAAUAUUGCACAAUGGGGGGAACCCUGAUGCAGCAACGCCGCGUGGAGGAUGACGCAUUUCGGUGUGUAAACUCCUUUUAUAUGUCAAGAAAAUGACGGUAGCAUAUGAAUAAGCACCGGCUAACUCCGUGCCAGCAGCCGUGGUAAUACGGAGGGUGGCAAGCGUUACUCGGAAUCACUGGGCGUAAAGGACGCGUAGGCGGGUUGGAAAGUCAGGUGUGAAAUCCUACAGCUUAACUGUAGAACUGCACUUGAAACUUCUAAUCUAGAGUAUGGGAGGGGGAGAUGGAAUUAGUGGUGUAGGGGUAAAAUCCGUAGAUAUCACUAGGAAUACCUAAAGCGAAGGCGAUCUCCUGGAACAUUACUGACGCUAAGGCGUGAAAGCGUGGGGAGCAAACAGGAUUAGAUACCCGCGUAGUC
This 440-nucleotide ribosomal RNA is filed under the name uncultured bacterium. Its description in RNAcentral is "partial 16S ribosomal RNA". It matches the Rfam family "Bacterial small subunit ribosomal RNA", at positions 339 to 795 of the family's 1533-position model. The record is from RNAcentral.